RNAcentral lists this ribosomal RNA (275 nucleotides) under uncultured bacterium. Its description in RNAcentral is "partial 16S ribosomal RNA". It matches the Rfam family "Bacterial small subunit ribosomal RNA", at positions 337 to 629 of the family's 1533-position model. The record is from RNAcentral.
UCCUACGGGGGGCAGCAGUGGGGGAUAUUGCACAAUGGGGGGAACCCUGAUGCAGCGACGCCGCGUGAGCGAAGAAGUACCUCGGUAUGUAAAGCUCUAUCAGCAGGGAAGAAAAUGACGGUACCUGAUUAAGAAGCCCCGGCUAACUACGUGCCAGCAGCCGCGGUAAUACGUAGGGGGCAAGCGUUAUCCGGAUUUACUGGGUGUAAAGGGAGCGCAGACGGCAGCGCAAGUCUGGAGUGAAAGCCCGGGGCCCAACCCCGGAACUGCUCUGG